CGACACGCACGCCGUCGGUGAAAGGGGUGGGAGCGGACCUCGCUUGGUUUGGGGUAGCUAAAAGGGGAGGGGGUAAGCGUUAAGCAAGGGAGCAGAGGAGGCUGGGCGCGCCGCUGCGUGCGUCUAGCGCGGCGCCGGAGGGCGCCGCCGCGGCAGGCCGCCGAGGUGACGGUCCUCGAGGCUCCCGCCUGCGCUCGAGCUGCGCGCGCGUCCGCCCCACGAAGCGCCGGCGCGGAAGGAGGGGGAGCUAAGGGGAGGGCGGUUUAGGCUCUGAAAGUCCGUCAAGACACUCAAAGUUACAGAAGGUGUUCUUUUCACUCUUUACAUUUGUUCGCGAUACGGUUUUAAUUACUUCUAACCGGCCUUUUCCUACGUUGUCAACAUGUAUUUUUAUUUCACGCUUUCUUCUUUGAUAGGCUGGAACCAAGAGUCACCUCGUUUCUACUCAACCUCGCGAAGAUACGUCGAAUAUCUUUUAUACCUUUUCUAACCUCCUUCCACCGACCACGGCAGGUACUAUCUUGUAGACUAUACCACCUCCGAGAAAUGUUGUACUUAUCCCGUAUAAACAGAGAAGGUCUCCCUUGACGAUGACGACGUCCCAACUAUCGCUACUACUGACUAGUAAUAUUAUAAGACCUACCCUCAUUGUCACUGGUACUCUCAUUGCCAAGUGGUUUUUGAAGAUCCUUCGGUGUCUUCGCACCGGCACGUUUCGAAGUCAGACACAGCUUCCGUAGACUAUGUGCAAUGGGACUAGAUAACGUUAGAGUCGGACGAAGUAGCUCGAUACCUACGGAAAGAAACAACUUCUUCUUUGCAAGACCUCCAUUGUUCGGGGCACGACAACCUUUUUCCUGAGGUGCUCACGGACAACGUUCGUACAUGGUCGCUCUACUGUUCUAUCCACGUAGUUUAUCUGUUCGUUUUGGUCUACGAUUAUUACCACUACUACUUCCACGAGAUCGACGAAAUCGAGACCGUCUCCAGACAGUUUCUCCGAGUGGAGUCCAAAGAGUUUGUAGACCUUCUAGGUCACCAGUUUACAAGGACAGAGGACCAUUUUCAUAGCUGUCUUUUUUACGUCUAAGUCUCUACCCCUCAAGUUUCUACGUACCUAAAGUUCAUCUCCGACUAAUAGGCCUUCCAUCGAAUCCUUCGUCCCUUCGUCUCUGACCACUGAUAGGGUUUCUACGAAGGAUAAAAGACUUAUUGCUUCCAAGACACAGACCGUUCAGAUUCGGUUUUCAAUUCUCCAGUGUUUUCUCUUCUUUCUUUCGACGUGUGUUUGGUCUUUUAGUUAAGCUCCUACUGUCUCUCCGAACGUCACCGUGGCUUCUUCCCACAUCAAGGUCUUUCCGGUUCCUAUAUAGUCUAAACCUACAUAAACCUUCAUUUCCAAGUACCGGUAGAUUGUUUAGUUUGUUUUCUUCGGCGGUUGAUAAAAAACCACUACUUAACAGUCGAGAGCUGCGCAAUGUAUGUAAUCGACUAUAGAGACACUUAUAAGAUGUUGGAAGAAGAUAGCGACUUAGACUUAGUAGCCGUGUCAAGUUCCUACCUUCGUUUCUGUUACUUAGACUACUAUUCGGAUCACACGGACGUCGUCAUAGUAAUAAACUGUUUUUUCUAUUCGGGUCUUUUUGUUUUUUCUAGUUUUCCGUCAGUCUUUAACGUCCGUUGCUCCACCAAUGAUCCUUUUUUCGAUCUGAAAGAUUUCUAGUGGUAGUACUGCCCUCAUGAAGACUUCAUUUCGUCCUACUAACAUUUACACCACAAUUUUACCUCUUUUUCUUUUCUUUCAGAAGGUAUAACUUCUAGAGGUUUCUACUCUUCUUAUGUGAUUUUCUAUCACUCUUCUGGCUCCGAAGACGACUUCUUCCCUUCCAUAGAAGAUUAUUUCGUGUACGACUAAAACCUUUUCUUCGGUACCUAUGCCACCUGUGCUGUCUUUUACGUUAUUGAGUCGUUAGCCUGAGCCGUAGUUUCAGAUUUUCGGCCGCGUUCAAUCCGUAAAACUUUCGUGAACGAGGUCUCUCGUUCGGACGACUCCCGCGACUACUAAGCACGCUAUUACAAAGGAUGGGUCACUUAUUGCAAUGCCUUGAGUUCCUGUUCGAGAGAGUGACGAAUAGAAGUGCAAAGGAGGCCUCUACCACGUACAGACUCACCAAGAUAUCACGUUAACUAAUAGGUACCAAACGCUUCUCACUUAAGCACCUCAUGAACUUAGUACAUUUCGACCCAGUACAUGGUUCCGACUGAGCACAGCUCACCCCACAAUAUUCCUCAAGAGAACCUUUCGGUGCAGCUAACAGUUUCGUCAAAAAUGUUCUCCUCUCCCUUUUCGAAAGAGUCAUAGCGCUCAGUCAGUCUGUUGUGAUACGACUUGAAGUCAGACCACAAGCUCUUCCAGAUGGUUGACUAGAACGAGCCGGGAAUCGUCAACCCGUCGCGCAAUAUCGGACAGUAGGGUUUUGUUCUCUUGAAGUACUACCCUCACAAAACUGACAGCUGGCAUUAGCGACAGCCCAAGUUAAACUAGCAGGCCUCGACCCACAACUCAAACACUACCUAUAACUAACAUACGGCAAUGUGGGUGACCUUUUAAAGGGACUCAGAGAGUCUGCGGUUUUAUAGCACUUAUUUAUAAUGUCGUCGAAGAGUCUUCAUUUCAAGCUCCUAGCCAGGUUUCUCAUACCACCACCUCCACGUGGUUCUAAGUAUGGUUUACCCCUACGUAAACUAAGCUACCGUGUCCGGUUUUGGUGUCGUUUGCUCCGAUGUCAGCGACGUGUCGUCCGUUACAUGCCGGUCGGUACAUGUGACAGUGUCUAAGUCCUUUCCCUUCGUCUAUAUUCCCGAGAACGACUUGAUAGCGCACGAGAACUAUUCUUCCUUCGGAACGACCAUCUCAACUCCGUGUACUUGCUUCUUCACAGACCUUUCGUUUUCCUACCCCUUUAAUAAUCUCUAAACCUCGUGAAGUCCUUCGUUAUGCGGUACCAAGAACAUGUCGACUCUCUAAGCUUACUAGUACACCGAAGUCGGGACGAAACAGACGCCGUUGCCUUGUGUAAAGUACCCGUCGGUUGCGUCAGUAUAGGAUUAUUUAGGUGCCUUUUACCACCUCGAAAAUUGUCUUGUGGUCUGGGUAGAUCAUUGGAAAAACCAAUAUAAUUAGUCCUCAGACCUAGGGUUCACUACCUCUAAUAACUCUGAAGUUCCAGGUUUCGAUUUUGCUACCAACUACAGCGACAAGUCCGUUACACGUUUCAUUCACUUCCUCUCUUGCGAAAACGGUUCUAUCCCCUUCGUGACCUGUUAGACUUGGAGGCACCGUGGCCGAGACCAAGCUCGUAUGAUCCGUAUUCCGCCUAUGGUGGGCUAAGGCCCGUCCGCUUAAGUCUAUUGUCGCGGAGCCCGGCGAAGCUGGGACGACGUCGUUGAUUAUUGUAAAGGUCAGGUUCUCAUAACGGGUUGCCGUCGCUGAGGCUUCGGGUCAAGGGCAGCCUCGACUAAAGCAGGACACAUCGCUGGUAGGACUACUAUGUCUUAACGUGCCUCUUCGUCAUAGUGGGACGCCUUCACCGCGUGUAAGAGCUGAGCCGCGACAGCGCCGACGUUGGCACGUCGAGCGUCUUGCAGGGGUAGAAGUCCCUCUAACUCUACACGUACCCAUAGUAGUUCUUGGUCUACGACCGCGACUAUGGGUGGGGAUCACCGAUCACAAGUACGUACCGGCUUGUAAGAGAAGAAAGCAAUAAAUAUAUAUGUAUACAUCCUUCUUUCUUUGAACUGUUACCAUACACCGAACAUAAGAUUUUCGAAUGUUCUCAGACAUAUUCCACAUGGAUUGGAUAGAAUAAUCAAUAAUAAUAUGAUAAUAGCACAUCAGAGGGAACUAGAAAAAAGCUCGCAUUUUUAUAAUUUUGGUUAUUUCACGUUUUCUUUCCCCACGUACCC
RNAcentral lists this ribosomal RNA (3966 nucleotides) under Triticum aestivum (bread wheat). RNAcentral describes it as "partial small subunit ribosomal RNA". Lineage: Eukaryota; Viridiplantae; Streptophyta; Magnoliopsida; Poales; Poaceae. The record is from RNAcentral.